Molecule: ribosomal RNA, 497 nt
Filed under: uncultured bacterium
Lineage: Bacteria
Description: partial 16S ribosomal RNA
Rfam family: Bacterial small subunit ribosomal RNA
Source: RNAcentral
GAUGAACGCUGGCGGCGUGCCUAAUACAUGCAAGUCGAGCGAACGGACGAGAAGCUUGCUUUUCUGAUGUUAGCGGCGGACGGGUGAGUAACACGUGGAUAACCUACCUAUAAGACUGGGAUAACUUCGGGAAACCGGAGCUAAUACCGGAUAAUAUUUUGAACCGCAUGGUUCAAAAGUGAAAGACGGUCUUGCUGUCACUUAUAGAUGGAUCCGCGCUGCAUUAGCUAGUUGGUAAUGUAACGGCUUACCAAGGCAACGAUGCAUAGCCGACCUGAGAGGGUGAUCGGCCACACUGGAACUGAGACACGGUCCAGACUCCUACGGGAGGCAGCAGUAGGGAAUCUUCCGCAAUGGGCGAAAGCCUGACGGAGCAACGCCGCGUGAGUGAUGAAGGUCUUCGGAUCGUAAAACUCUGUUAUUAGGGAAGAACAUAUGUGUAAGUAACUGUGCACAUCUUGACGGUACCUAAUCAGAAAGCCACGGCUAACUACGUG